Molecule: ribosomal RNA, 515 nt
Filed under: uncultured human intestinal bacterium
Lineage: Bacteria
Description: bacterial SSU rRNA
Rfam family: Bacterial small subunit ribosomal RNA
Source: RNAcentral
AGAGUUUGAUCCUGGCUCAGGAUGAACGCUGGCGGCGUGCCUAACACAUGCAAGUCGAGCAAGAAAUCAUAAAAUGAAACUUCGGUAGAUUUUUAAGAUGGAAAGCGGCGGACGGGUGAGUAACGCGUAGGCAACCUGCCUUAUGCAGAGGGAUAGCCAUUGGAAACGAUGAUUAAAACCUCAUAACGCCGGAGAGUCACAUGGUUUUCCGGCCAAAGAUUUAUCGGCAUAAGAUGGGCCUGCGUCUGAUUAGUUAGUUGGUGGGGUAACGGCCUACCAAGGCGACGAUCAGUAGCCGACCUGAGAGGGUGAUCGGCCACAUUGGAACUGAGACACGGUCCAAACUCCUACGGGAGGCAGCAGUGGGGAAUAUUGCACAAUGGGCGAAAGCCUGAUGCAGCAACGCCGCGUGAAGGAAGAAGGCCUUCGGGUCGUAAACUUCUGUCCUAUGGGAAGAAAAAAAUGACGGUACCAUAGGAGGAAGCCCCGGCUAACUACGUGCCAGCAGCCGCGGU